CUGGCGGCACGCUUAACACAUGCAAGUCGAACGAGAGAAGAGGAGCUUGCUUUUCUGAUCUAGUGGCGGACGGGUGAGUAACACGUGAGCAAUCUGCCUUUCAGAGGGGGAUACCGAUUGGAAACGAUCGUUAAUACCGCAUAACAUAAUUGAACCGCAUGAUUUGAUUAUCAAAGAUCUAUCGCUGAAAGAUGAGCUCGCGUCUGAUUAGCUAGUUGGUAAGGUAACGGCUUACCAAGGCGACGAUCAGUAGCCGGACUGAGAGGUUGAUCGGCCACAUUGGGACUGAGACACGGCCCAGACUCCUACGGGAGGCAGCAGUGGGGAAUAUUGCACAAUGGAGGAAACUCUGAUGCAGCGAUGCCGCGUGAGGGAAGAAGGUUUUAGGAUUGUAAACCUCUGUCUUCAGGGACGAAAAAUGACGGUACCUGAGGAGGAAGCUCCGGCUAACUACGUGCCAGCAGCCGCGGUAAUACGUAGGGAGCGAGCGUUGUCCGGAAUUACUGGGUGUAAAGGGAGCGUAGGCGGGAUCGCAAGUCAGAUGUGAAAACUAUGGGCUUAACCCAUAAACUGCAUUUGAAACUGUGGUUCUUGAGUGAAGUAGAGGUAAGCGGAAUUCCUAGUGUAGCGGUGAAAUGCGUAGAUAUUAGGAGGAACAUCAGUGGCGAAGGCGGCUUACUGGGCUUUAACUGACGCUGAGGCUCGAAGCGUGGGGA
Molecule: ribosomal RNA, 716 nt
Filed under: uncultured Lachnospiraceae bacterium
Lineage: Bacteria; Bacillati; Bacillota; Clostridia; Lachnospirales; Lachnospiraceae
Description: bacterial SSU rRNA
Rfam family: Bacterial small subunit ribosomal RNA
Source: RNAcentral